This 510-nucleotide unclassified non-coding RNA is filed under the name uncultured Glomus. RNAcentral's name for it is "SSU rRNA". It matches the Rfam family "Eukaryotic small subunit ribosomal RNA", at positions 569 to 1082 of the family's 1831-position model. The record is from RNAcentral. Lineage: Eukaryota; Fungi; Glomeromycota; Glomeromycetes; Glomerales; Glomeraceae.
AGCAGCCGCGGUAAUUCCAGCUCCAAUAGCGUAUAUUAAAGUUGUUGCAGUUAAAAAGCUCGUAGUUGAAUUUCGGGAUCAAAGAAUCGGUCAUGCCUUGGUAUGUACUGGUUUUAUUGGUUCUCACCUUCUAAAGAACCAUGAUGUCAUUCAUUUGAUGUUAUGGGGAAUUAGGACUGUUACCUUGAAAAAUUAGAGUGUUUAAAGCAAGCUUACGCUUGAAUACAUUAGCAUGGAAUAAUGAAAUAGGACAUCAGAUUCUAUUUUGUUGGUUUCUAGGAUCGAUGUAAUGAUUAAUAGGGAUAGUUGGGGGCAUUAGUAUUCAAUUGUCAGAGGUGAAAUUCUUGGAUUUAUUGAAGACUAACUACUGCGAAAGCAUUUGCCAAGGAUGUUUUCAUUAAUCAAGAACGAAAGUUAGGGGAUCGAAGACGAUCAGAUACCGUCGUAGUCUUAACCAUAAACUAUGCCGACUAGGGAUCGGAUGAUGUUAAUUUUUUAAUGACUCAUUCC